This 800-nucleotide ribosomal RNA is filed under the name uncultured bacterium. Its description in RNAcentral is "bacterial SSU rRNA". It matches the Rfam family "Bacterial small subunit ribosomal RNA", at positions 68 to 865 of the family's 1533-position model. The record is from RNAcentral.
AGCGCGGGGGGUAACUCCUGGCGGCGAGUGGCGAACGGGUGAGUAAUAUAUCGGAACGUGCCCUGGAGUGGGGGAUAACUAGUCGAAAGAUUAGCUAAUACCGCAUACGAUCUACGGAUGAAAGUGGGGGAUUCGCAAGAACCUCAUGCUCGUGGAGCGGCCGAUAUCUGAUUAGCUAGUUGGUAGGGUAAAAGCCUACCAAGGCGACGAUCAGUAGCUGGUUUGAGAGAACGACCAGCCACACUGGGACUGAGACACGGCCCAGACUCCUACGGGAGGCAGCAGUGGGGAAUUUUGGACAAUGGGGGCAACCCUGAUCCAGCAAUGCCGCGUGUGUGAAGAAGGCCUUCGGGUUGUAAAGCACUUUUGUCAGGGAAGAAACGGAGGGCUAAUAUCCUUUGCUAAUGACGGUACCUGAAGAAUAAGCACCGGCUAACUACGUGCCAGCAGCCGCGGUAAUACGUAGGGUGCAAGCGUUAAUCGGAAUUACUGGGCGUAAAGCGUGCGCAGGCGGUUGUGUAAGUCAGAUGUGAAAUCCCCGGGCUCAACCUGGGAAUUGCAUUUGAGACUGCACGGCUAGAGUGUGUCAGAGGGGGGUAGAAUUCCACGUGUAGCAGUGAAAUGCGUAGAGAUGUGGAGGAAUACCGAUGGCGAAGGCAGCCCCCUGGGAUAACACUGACGCUCAUGCACGAAAGCGUGGGGAGCAAACAGAAUUAGAUACCCUGGUAGUCCACGCCCUANACGAUGUCUACUAGUUGUCGGGUCUUAAUUGNCUUGGUAACGCAGCUAACGCGUGAAGU